Argiope bruennichi is the source of this 441-nucleotide long non-coding RNA. RefSeq lists it as uncharacterized. The transcript is spliced from 3 exons. Lineage: Eukaryota; Metazoa; Arthropoda; Arachnida; Araneae; Araneidae. The record is from RefSeq and is a predicted model, not a curated record.
CACUAGUUGCCCGCGGUGAGCUGUGUUGUUCAAAUGUUUGUUUACCUUGUAAUGAAUUUUUAUUCUGGAGCAUAUGCCGAAUAAGCAUUCUUACAUCAAUGGAUUUUCAUCUAUUACAGAAAUAUCAAGAUUAAAUUGUCAUGUCACAUGAGGUGGAGAAAGAAUUUCUCUAAAAAUCUUUUCCUAAAUCAACCAGUAGUGAUCCUUCCACCGCAUAAAAUUAUGGAUCACGGGUAAGGCCAGAAAUAUCUUGCAUGGCAUUGGCGGACAGUAAUUACGAAACAUGGAUCGUUGGCGGGAAGCUAAUACGCCAAGAUUUUUUGAAAUUACUGUUUUGAAAUUCGACCGUGAUGAUGUCAUCUGAAAUCAAUGAGCAACACUUUUUAGAAUCGAAUUAUUUUUCGGUUGACAAAUUCUGAUUAUGUAUAAGUAACUAUAGCC